UGCCAUCUUAACGAUAUUAAGUCUUCUAAUUCAACAUAAGAAUUUUAAACAAGAAAUAAAAUCAUUAUUAUUCCCAGACUGAAAUAGUUGUGCACAUUGAAAACCCAAAAUAAUCUACAGAUAAGUUGUUCAAAUUAAUAAAUCAACGUAGCAAGGCUUCUUGACAGAAGUUCAAUAUGAAAAUUAUGUCUAUGUACUAGCAACAAAGUUAGAAAAUAAAAAUUUUAAAAGGUAACAUUUACAAUAGCGUCAAAAAUACCUAGUACCUAGAAAUGAAUUGUAUGAAAGAUUUCCAAGAACUCUAAUUAGAAAACUAUAAAAUAUUCUUGGGAGACCUAGAUAAUUAGAAGGAUAUACUAUAUUCAAGGAUUAGAAGAUUCAAUAUUAUAAAGAUGUCAAUUCUCCUCAAACUGACCUACAGAUUCAACACAAUCUCAGUGUAAAUUCCAAGAUUUUUUCCUGGUGUAAUUCAAGCAUGUGGAAAUGUAAAAGGCCAAGAAUAGCCAAAAUAUUCCUGAUACAAGACAGUAAGAUUUAAGGCUACAGCAAUUAAGACAAUGUGGUAUUCGCACAAGGAUAGACCAAUAGACCAGUGGAACAUAUUAGAGUCCAGAAGCAGACCCAUACAUAUAUGCACACCUGAUUUAUGACAAAAUAGCUCUCCAGAGCAGUGGUACUGGGUCAAUAAGAAAUCCAUAUGAAAAAGUGAAAUUUGACCCCUUCCUCAAACUAUACAAAAAAAAAAAAAUCAAUUCCAGAUUAAAUAAAGCUCUAUGAACAGCAAACAAUAAAAACUCCAGGAGAUAACAGCUUUGGGUUAUGCACAGGUUUCUUAAACAGGACCCCAAAACCACUAACCAUGAAGGAAAAGAUUGAUAAAUUUGACUACAUUUAGAUUCAGAUCUUCUGUUCAUCCAUAGAGUGGGAGAAAAUAUUUGUGUUAUGUAAAAUUGAUAAAGGGAUGUGUAGCAAAUGGAAUUCUCUUAUGCUGUUCGUGGUAUAUUUAUUUUGGAAAACAAUCUGGCAUUAUCUACUGAAGUUGAACAUACAGAUAGCCUCUGGCAAUUCUGUUGGGUGAUGACCUAGGAGUAGAAUUUCCAUGUGAACCAAGAGAUAGGGUAGCACUGUCCAGAAUAGCUUCAAACUGGAAGCAACUCUUACUGUAGAUAUUUCCUAGUGGCUCAUCUGAAUUGUGGUAAAGUAUUUCAUUAUAUAGUAUAGACCACAAUUUAUUUAAUCCAUUGCUUUUCUGAUAGAACCCUGACUGAUAUAUCAUUUAUGCCAAUUUUUCUACGGAAGUGAUCAUCUUUCUUAUACAAAUUAAUUUGUAAGAGUUCUUUGCAUGUUAAGAAUCUUAUCUGUCAUAUAUGUUAUAAAAUGUAUUAAUUUUUCAUUAAUCUUUUAUCUUUCUUUACAAUAUUUUGUUGUAUGAAAGCUUUAUAUUUUUAUGCAACAAAUUUAUCAGUAUUUUUAUUUGUGGCUUUUGGGUUUCAUGACAUGCUUAGAGUAGCUUUUUCAACACUAAGAUUAUAAAAAUAUCCACCCAUAUUUUAAUCCAAUAUGUGUAUAUAUAUAUAUAUUUUUAAAGAUUGGCACCUGAGCUAACAACUGUUGCCAAUCUUUUUUUUCCCUGCUUUUUCUCCCCCAAAUCCCCCCAGUAUAUAGUUGUAUAUUUUUUAGUUGUGAGUCCUUCUAGUUGUGGCAUGUGGGACGCCACCUCACCGUGGCCUGAUGAGCGGUGCCAUGUCCGCGCCCACGAUCUGAACCAGCAAAACCCUGGGCCGCCGAAGUGGAGCACGGAAACUUAACCACUUGGCCAUGGGGCCGGCCCCUGUAUAUGGUUUUAUUUUUGUUUAGUCCUUGAUCCAUCUAGAAUUUAUUUUUGUGUGUAGGGCUCUCACUUCAGUGCAUCCAAAUAAAGAGUCAAUCGUCAUAUUAAACCAUAUCUUUUUUCCCCACUGAUAUGAAAUGCCACCUUUAUCAUCUGUUAUAGUCGCAUAUAUACACUAUUAUAAGGUGUAAUAGAUACUGAAUGGCAAAUAAGAUAUCUUAGAAUUCUUCAAGCUUAAGAGGAUACAGCUACUGAGAGGAUAGGUUUCAGUAUCAACACAGAUAUUUAUGCAUGGACAGAAAAAGAUGUCUGUAUGCUUAGCUGUCAAAUAGAGAGAGACUGGGGGAGGGUCAAAUGCACUACAUGAUAUCACAAGGAGUGAUAGAAUUCUAUUUGGAACUUCAGAGGCCUGAGAGGAAGACUCUGGCCAGUUUCUUCUGAAGACUACUGCACUCUGAGGCCUCAUUCACUGGCUUCUUUGGAUCCCUGGCUGCUAAGCCAAUUUUCAGACAAAGCUACCUUGGAAAGAGCCAAGGAAAAAGCCAUCUCCCCUUGGCCGAGUGAGCUAGGAGAACAGCUAAGUGGCCCUCAGGAGACUCCAUGGACUCUCCCCAGAAUCUGCUGAGCAUUGGAUUUCUGCUGUGCUCUCUGGCUUGCCUCCUGGAGACUGUAGGUUCCUCAACAUCGCCUUUAUCUGCCUUUGGAGUAGAAGGCAAAGCAGGAUCAAAACUACGCUCAAUGGGUGUGUUUGCUGUUAGGAUGAAUGUUCGUAGCUUUGUAAGACAUAAGAUUCGUGUCUCAGUUCAGAAAAAUUGAUUUUAUAUUUAAAAAUAAUGUUCACAAGAAAGCAAACUAUUCUGGUUUGGUUCAAUUUAGUUCAACAAGAGCUAACUCACUUACUGUGUGCACCAAACCCUUUGCUGAAUGACAUGGAUUAGGAGUUCAGAAAUGUGCAGCCAAAGCCACAGAUGCCAACCCUCCAUGGAAUAUGACACAUGCUCCCUGAGGAAAAAAGGAUAAAGUUGUCACAAAUAAAGUAAAAUAAAAUGAAUGAAAAAAUAAAGGGAUAAAUAAAGUUGGGGGAGGGAUCAGGGAAGCCGACAAAGGAAAUGAACUUUAAGCUAAACCUGAUGACCCAUUGAUCUGUGGCUUAGGUGCUCCCAAAGCCCAGCUUCCAACAUGCAUAGCCAUGCUGCUCAGAUCCUUUCCGGAGCUCCAGCUACGGAAAGUGUCUGCCUGGUGAGUGGUGAACCCUCUUGACUCCACACCACAGACACUCUUUUUCCCCUACCUCUUUCCUUGGGAUUAAAUCACAUUCCCCUCUUCUUCCUCUCCAACUUCCUAAAGAAAAGACCCAGUAUCUUGAGCCUUACCUUGAUCAGCAGACUCCCUCUAAAGUUCCUUCUGCCAGUUUCCCUGGCCCCUUCCUCCUCUGGAUGUUCCUGCAGCUGAUAGCCCUCUUUUUUCUCUUCCUGAGGCACUCACUGCCCUCAGCCUCUUGCAGAACUCCCAAACAUACUCUAGGCAACCAUAUAUUAGUUAUCAGUUCAUGCUCCUCUUUCACAAAGUACCCCAUUUACUCAAGAAGACCUCAAAACAACCCUUAAGAUGUCUGGGGCAGAGAUGAUUUUUCCUAUUGAUUUGUGAGGAGGCAAAGAUGAUAACCACCUAAGGAUACCUUUUGUGAGUGUACGUUUACCCCUUGAAUGCCUUAGAGGCAGCACAGCAAAGUAGUCAAGAAUAUGGGCUCUGGACAACUAUAAGAGCAUGAUAUUUGAGACAACUAUUUGAACUUGAACCAAGGUUCAAAUUCCAGCCUCAUCAUUUACUUGACCUCUCCUCAAUGAACAUCUAUGCUCUUUCUGCAGAAAAUCACAGAUCCUGGCUGAGCAACUUCAGGGAGUACUUGGGGGAUCUCAUCAAGAGCUCCGUACCUCCAGCAGCCAUUUUUGCUUUGCUUGUCAUCACAGCACUGAUGGGGACCCUCUGCUGCCUCACGUAAGCUGCUGUGUGGCAUGAGGAGAGGGGAGGAUAGAGGGAACCUGAGGGAGAGACAGGAACAAUCAGGUUCCCUACCAGCCUGCACAUCUGUAAUUAAGGGAAAGUUUCUUUUUUUUUUGAGGAAGACUAGCCCUGAGCUAACAUCUGCUGCCAAUCUUUCUCUUUUUUUGCUGAGGAAGACUGGCCCUGAGCUAACAUCCAUGCCCGUCUUCCUCUACUUUAUAUAUGGGACGCCUACUACAGCAUGGUGUGCCAAGUGGUGCCAUGUCCGCACUCGGGAUCCAAACUGGUGAACCCCGGGCUGCUGAACCAGAAUGUGUGCACUUAACCACUGAGCCACUGGGCCAGCCCAUAAGGGAGAGUUUUAAGAAAGGUAAUUCUGGGGACAAAACUCCAAAAGGCCAUGCAAGUCCCUUUUAAAAAGUCUCCUCUACCAGGUGGACUGUGGGGUG
Long non-coding RNA from Equus caballus (horse), 4284 nucleotides. NCBI's taxonomy places the organism in Eukaryota, Metazoa, Chordata, Mammalia, Perissodactyla, Equidae. The record is from Ensembl.